Molecule: long non-coding RNA, 1449 nt
Filed under: Coturnix japonica (Japanese quail)
Lineage: Eukaryota; Metazoa; Chordata; Aves; Galliformes; Phasianidae
Description: lncRNA (ENSCJPG00005010892.1)
Source: RNAcentral
AUGUGUGCUCGCUCGAAAGUUGUGCUAAAAUCACUUGUAAUCCACCCCAUCUUGCUGCCCUUUCCAACAACUGAAGACAUUAUUCAACAGCCUGAGGAUAUCCAGAUCCUCACAUCUUCCUUCAGAGCAAUUAAUACAGACCACAACUUGAAGCAGAGGGGUGUGCAUCUCUAUCCAUCAGCUGGCAGAUUGCAUGAGUUCCCAAAUGGCAGCUCCCUGGAAACCCUUUUUGGAGUAAAGAAAGUUGAAGUUCUUUUAGUAGGUAUGCACUCCUAUUCAUGGAAAAUCCUCCAACAAGAGCAUUGGAUUCCAUUAAUAAAGAAAAAGUACCUCUUGACAAUCAAAAGAGAACAUCAACAUCACAUUUUUCAUCUUCCAGCUCUGAGCCUCCAACUAGAGACUGUACCAGAAAUAAAAUGCUUUCUGCCACAGUAGGAUCACCAGCAAGCAUCAAAUGAAAUGAGACUGAAAUGGAGAGGGAGUACUUUUAUUUCUUGCUCUCCUCCGUGAUCGUCAUUGUGCUGCCAUUUCAGAUAUUGAGAUCAUUCAACCCUGACAUGAGCAAAACUUGUCUCUGAGGGCAAUAUGGCAAGUGAAAGAGCAGCUUUUAGACUGGAAUUUCUGAAAACACAUUAUUGCAGGCAAUUGUGAAAAUUCAGCAUCUGUCUUCUCCAAGUAAAAGUCGAACAGCAUUUUCCCUCUUGCUUCCACUGUGUAAGUAUGCAGUCUUCCACCUUUGAAAUGCGAAACGAAAGAGAACCUUGCAGCCUGUUUAAGGAUAUCUGCAUGACCCAGCUACAAGUAGUCAAGGAGCCAGAAGGGAUAAAGCUUUAGAGGUAGUCAAAUCGCCUGCAUCAAACACAGUUCAAUUUGAUUCAAGGUGAUUUGAAGAAGUAAUUUACCCAAAAUGUUCUGUUAGUAUUUGCUCGCAACAUCACACUAGUCUUUAGAUAUUGCGGAUGAUAAUUUAGAUAUUAUGGAUGUAGUAUUGUAGAUGGGGAGACACUGCAAGUCUGGUCCGCUUUAAACAAGGCAAAAGGAGCAGCAACGGAAUGCCUGGAGUGUGACAGACAGCAUCUGUUCCCCUUUGUCUUACUUAUAUGUGUGCAGAGACUUCUCGAUUAUCCUUGCAUUCAGCAGCAAACUUUGGGACAAAAGGAGUGUUGAGAAGAAGUAAACGACCACCCCCAAGGACUAACAAUGGACCGACAGUUGGCCAUUACGGUGCUAGAAGGCUAGAUGAUGGUGUUGGUCGCCAGAUAGGGUUGUGUCUGUUGGGCAGUCAUGGGGCUGGAUAGGAUAAUGAUUUUGGGAACGUAAUGAAUUUGUAAUACAUGUGAAAAUAUAACCUGCUCACGAACGAUCUAAUAACUGGUGGAGCGUUCUUGGAGAGUUACUUCGAUGAUGCCUCAGCGUUACCAAUAAAGAAUACCUUGCUUAACGGUAACA